Molecule: ribosomal RNA, 1370 nt
Filed under: Staphylococcus warneri
Lineage: Bacteria; Bacillati; Bacillota; Bacilli; Caryophanales; Staphylococcaceae
Description: bacterial SSU rRNA
Rfam family: Bacterial small subunit ribosomal RNA
Source: RNAcentral
GCGGACGGGUGAGUAACACGUGGAUAACCUACCUAUAAGACUGGGAUAACUUCGGGAAACCGGAGCUAAUACCGGAUAACAUAUUGAACCGCAGGGUUCAAUAGUGAAAGGCGGCUUUGCUGUCACUUAUAGAUGGAUCCGCGCCGUAUUAGCUAGUUGGUAAGGUAACGGCUUACCAAGGCAACGAUACGUAGCCAACCUGAGAGGGUGAUCGGCCACACUGGAACUGAGACACGGUCCAGACUCCUACGGGAGGCAGCAGUAGGGAAUCUUCCGCAAUGGGCGAAAGCCUGACGGAGCAACGCCGCGUGAGUGAUGAAGGUCUUCGGAUCGUAAAACUCUGUUAUCAGGGAAGAACAAAUGUGUAAGUAACUGUGCACAUCUUGACGGUACCUGAUCAGAAAGCCACGGCUAACUACGUGCCAGCAGCCGCGGUAAUACGUAGGUGGCAAGCGUUAUCCGGAAUUAUUGGGCGUAAAGCGCGCGUAGGCGGUUUUUUAAGUCUGAUGUGAAAGCCCACGGCUCAACCGUGGAGGGUCAUUGGAAACUGGAAAACUUGAGUGCAGAAGAGGAAAGUGGAAUUUCCAUGUGUAGCGGUGAAAUGCGCAGAGAUAUGGAGGAACACCAGUGGCGAAGGCGACUUUCUGGUCUGUAACUGACGCUGAUGUGCGAAAGCGUGGGGAUCAAACAGGAUUAGAUACCCUGGUAGUCCACGCCGUAAACGAUGAGUGCUAAGUGUUAGGGGGUUUCCGCCCCUUAGUGCUGCAGCUAACGCAUUAAGCACUCCGCCUGGGGAGUACGACCGCAAGGUUGAAACUCAAAGGAAUUGACGGGGACCCGCACAAGCGGUGGAGCAUGUGGUUUAAUUCGAAGCAACGCGAAGAACCUUACCAAAUCUUGACAUCCUUUGACCGCUCUAGAGAUAGAGUCUUCCCCUUCGGGGGACAAAGUGACAGGUGGUGCAUGGUUGUCGUCAGCUCGUGUCGUGAGAUGUUGGGUUAAGUCCCGCAACGAGCGCAACCCUUAAGCUUAGUUGCCAUCAUUAAGUUGGGCACUCUAAGUUGACUGCCGGUGACAAACCGGAGGAAGGUGGGGAUGACGUCAAAUCAUCAUGCCCCUUAUGAUUUGGGCUACACACGUGCUACAAUGGACAAUACAAAGGGCAGCUAAACCGCGAGGUCAAGCAAAUCCCAUAAAGUUGUUCUCAGUUCGGAUUGUAGUCUGCAACUCGACUACAUGAAGCUGGAAUCGCUAGUAAUCGUAGAUCAGCAUGCUACGGUGAAUACGUUCCCGGGUCUUGUACACACCGCCCGUCACACCACGAGAGUUUGUAACACCCGAAGCCGGUGGAGUAACCAUUUAUGGAGCUA